AGCAGCGUGGCUCAGUGGAAAGAGCACGGGCUUGGGAGCCAGAGGUCAUGGGUUCGAAUCCCGGCUCUGCCA
Non-coding RNA from Ornithorhynchus anatinus (platypus), 72 nucleotides. The record is from Rfam. Lineage: Eukaryota; Metazoa; Chordata; Mammalia; Monotremata; Ornithorhynchidae.